AAAAUACUCUGGAUCAAGGUAACCCUGCAAAGUCAAAACAAUUUUUGAGACAUCUAGAUAUCCCGUCUCACAACAGAUCGAAAAGCUUGAAUAUUUGUUAUUUCAAGAAGAUUUAUCAACUGAUAUCCAACUCUUCUUCUUAAAUUUGGUUAUUCAUUCAAAUAAGUCAAUGAAUAAGUUGUGAUUUAAACAUCAUAAUGCUCUAACCAACCAAAAUACAGCAAAGGUAACUAGUUUUUGCCUUGUGGACUUUGGAGUGUGAAAUUAAUGAAUCAGUUUACUCAAACAUGAUGAUUUUCAUGACAUUGGACAUAUAGGACAUUCAAAUGUUCUUUUCUUUUAUCCAUUUGCAGCUUAAUGAACUUAAAGCAGGGUAUUACUUGUUACCAAACGUCCAGAGAUGGACAUGCUACAAACUGAACAGUGCCAUGAUAAAACAAAAGAGAGAAGAAGACCAAGAUCAAUUCUCUGAUGAAUAAAAUUUGGAAUUUAGUAGUCUUACUAGAGGGAAUAAAUAUAGUAAACCUACUGGGGUACCCUUUACAACUGUGGACACAUGAGCUGGCACA
Molecule: unclassified non-coding RNA, 569 nt
Filed under: Hevea brasiliensis (rubber tree)
Lineage: Eukaryota; Viridiplantae; Streptophyta; Magnoliopsida; Malpighiales; Euphorbiaceae
Source: RNAcentral